CCCCCCCCCCAGUUCAGGUCAACAAUUUUUUUUUCUAACAUAAUUUUAUUGAUACUGAAACUUCUUAUCUAGUGCGGAAAUUGUCACAGCUUGAUUAGGCUUCUUAAACUGGCCGUUAAUUAAUACCAGCGUCCCCAUGCGUGAUUUAUGACAACUUAUCGGUGGGUGUGUAAAUAUUGACACCUGUGUGUAAUAUGUCUAUGCAAAAGAUUUUAUGUAAAAUAGAUCAAAAUACAUUUACAUUAUGAUUGGAAUAGUACAAAAUUGUAUUGGUUUAUAAUACAAUACCGAUUAAGAUCGAUUACCAGGUGAAACGUCUGAUCUGUGUUUUUGAAGAAAAGGUACAAACAUUUCCUGUAAAUGUACUUUUUUUCCAAAACUUUCUUUUUUUUUUAAAUAAUAUCAUAUUUCAUUCCCCUCUUAUGGAAGGGAAAUCAACAAAAAAAUUUACUCCCCCUCCCCUUUACCCUAAUGCUUUCCCUCGUCCAGGAAAAAUAAAUUGACAUUUCCUAUUAAAUAAUCAUUAAUAAAAUGCUACUUGAUUUUCGUUAAAAUUUAGUUUGUAACAGAAUCUUGGACUUAAACAUUUCUCUAAAAGCCGAAGCAUGCAGUUAUAUUUGUUUUUAUUGGUCUUGUUUCAAUUACCAUGCAUGUACAUGGACGAGGCUAUGCAAAAGGUCACCAUUUAUGAAGAUAUAAAGGUGUUUUGCAGAUAUUCGAAUAAUGUGCAAAAAAGUAUAAGUCGGGGCCAAAAAAUAUAGAUAACAGAAUAUAGAGUUGAUGAAAUAUAAAGAAAAUAUUGUUUAAAUUGUUGCAUGGUUGUUAAACGUCCAGUGGCAAAUAUUUGAUGCAUGUUUAGGUCGAAUAUAAUAAAGAUCAAUUGGCAAUAAAGUGCAAAAGUAAAAAACUUAAAACAUAUCGAAAUCCAGAAAUAAUGAUUUGACCCCCCCCC
This 952-nucleotide long non-coding RNA is filed under the name Mytilus galloprovincialis (Mediterranean mussel). The record is from RNAcentral. Lineage: Eukaryota; Metazoa; Mollusca; Bivalvia; Mytilida; Mytilidae.